AUGAACGCUGACAGAAUGCUUAACCCAUGCAAGUCAACUUGAACUUCGGUUUGGGUGGCGGACGGGUGAGUAACGCGUAAAGAACUUGCCUCACAGCUAGGGACAACAUUUGGAAACGAAUGCUAAUACCUGAUAUUAUGAUUUUAGGGCAUCCUAGAAUUAUGAAAGCUAUAUGCGCUGUGAGAGAGCUUUGCGUCCCAUUAGCUAGUUGGAGAGGUAACGGCUCACCAAGGCGAUGAUGGGUAGCCGGCCUGAGAGGGUGAACGGCCACAAGGGGACUGAGACACGGCCCUUACUCCUACGGGAGGCAGCAGUGGGGAAUAUUGGACAAUGAACCAAGAGUCUGAUCCAGCAAUUCUGUGUGCACGAUGAAGUUUUUCGGAAUGUAAAGUGCUUUCAGUUGGGAAGAAAAAAAUGACGGUACCAACAGAAGAAGUGACGGCUAAAUACGUG
RNAcentral lists this ribosomal RNA (453 nucleotides) under uncultured bacterium. RNAcentral describes it as "partial 16S ribosomal RNA". It matches the Rfam family "Bacterial small subunit ribosomal RNA", at positions 29 to 507 of the family's 1533-position model. The record is from RNAcentral.